AUUGAACGCUGGCGGCAGGCUUAACACAUGCAAGUCGAGCGGUAACAUUUCUAGCUUGCUAGAAGAUGACGAGCGGCGGACGGGUGAGUAAUACUUAGGAAUCUACCUAGUAGUGGGGGAUAGCUCGGGGAAACUCGAAUUAAUACCGCAUACGACCUACGGGAGAAAGGGGGCAGUUUACUGCUCUCGCUAUUAGAUGAGCCUAAGUCGGAUUAGCUAGAUGGUGGGGUAAAGGCCUACCAUGGCGACGAUCUGUAGCUGGUCUGAGAGGAUGAUCAGCCACACCGGGACUGAGACACGGCCCGGACUCCUACGGGAGGCAGCAGUGGGGAAUAUUGGACAAUGGGGGGAACCCUGAUCCAGCCAUGCCGCGUGUGUGAAGAAGGCCUUUUGGUUGUAAAGCACUUUAAGCAGUGAAGAAGACUCCAUGGUUAAUACCCGUGGACGAUGACAUUAGCUGCAG
Molecule: ribosomal RNA, 463 nt
Filed under: Psychrobacter sp. S39b
Lineage: Bacteria; Pseudomonadati; Pseudomonadota; Gammaproteobacteria; Moraxellales; Moraxellaceae
Description: bacterial SSU rRNA
Rfam family: Bacterial small subunit ribosomal RNA
Source: RNAcentral